GAGAGGUGCUCCAGGAGUAAGAGGUGGUCAAGGGGAGACGGGUGAGCACAGGGUCAUGAAGGUCAGGCUGGAGACGUGGGUUCACAGGGUCUGAGUGGAGUGUCUGGGCUCAAAGGGUACAGAGGAGAGCCAGGUUCUCACGGACCUGCGGGUCUCCCCCCCAGGGUGUUAAGGGCCCCAGGGGGCCUCCAGGAGCCCCAGGAGAUGCAGGGCCCAUUGGGAAAAGGGGUGAUGAUGGAACACAGGGAGAAGGCCAACCUGGAUAUCCAGGGUUCCAGGUCAGAGAACAAAAGGACAGAGAACACCUUAUCUUCUCACCAGAUGGCCUAGGAAUGCGAUAAUAGGACAACAUCCCCACCUCCGGCCAUAGAUCAACAGAUACUCCUCAACGAGUUCCCUGGACACACACAGACAUUUCACUGCACGCACACUCAUUCUCAACUCCCCUGUCUACUGGUCGGGUGCCA
Molecule: long non-coding RNA, 467 nt
Organism: Coregonus clupeaformis (lake whitefish)
Lineage: Eukaryota; Metazoa; Chordata; Actinopteri; Salmoniformes; Salmonidae
Exons: 5
Source: RefSeq, a predicted model, not a curated record